CCCUCACGCGUGCCAGCCCGAGGGGGUGGCUUGAAGCCCUCGGAGGCUGAAGUGGCCGUGAUGAGGGACCAGUUUUUCUCAAAUGUUUAUGUUACUGGUGAACACUGGAGAGGAGAAAGUGAAGCGUAGGCACAUGGGGUGCAAGGCGUUUGACUUCAGAGCCCUUUGAAGACGUUCCAGGGUGUACUUACAUUUUAAGCAAGAAUGCUGACAGAAGAUGAAGCAAGGAACAAUAGUUUCAUAUUCAGUUCAGGAAGAGUGAGUUGUUCUGUUUUUUUCCUGAUCAUCCUUCUGGUAUGUCAUAAAGGCCUGCUUCUCAAAUACGUGGGACUAGACAGAGAUCUUUUAUCAUCCAUAUGAAAACGGUGAAUGGGUUGCAUUGUGACUGUUGAAGUCUCGUGAGGGCUUUUCAAAACUGCUGUAUUAACAGAGAGGUUUUCAUCUUUGGGCUCCGCAUGCAAGGAGGUACCGACCAAGAUGCUGUCUGUGACACCUGUUUUGUCUUGAUCCUUAGGAAAUACAGACAAAACUAAAAGGCUUUUUCCCAUAAAAUUAUUAACUGAGAUUUCCCUUUGCAACUGUGUAAAAAGAGCGCCUGGGUUCUGCAUGACUUCCCUGGAUAUGUAAUUAAGUUAUGAAUUGAAUGCUCGCCAGAGUUCUUUAAGCACUAUGUACUUGUGAACAAUUAAAGCUGGUCCAGGAUUUCCCUGAGCUGUUCAAGUAAGCUUGAGGGUUGUGUAGAUGUACUCAAAGUAGUUUUCUGUUACCUCACUAUGCGUUUGGUGCAGCAGCAUGGAACGCUGCGUAGACUAAUUGGACUGAAGUUUAGGCCUGUGGCUUACACUACCACAGAUGCAACGUUAAGGUCCUGAGCUAAUUACUGUAAAGUUAGCAACUUCCUGUUACUGCAGUCACCAAAGUGCAGACUUACCUUGAGAAAAAUUUGGCUUGAGGACAAGUAAUAAAGUAAUUAUCAAACAAACCUUCGUUCCACUGGGUUGCAAACUCUAAUAGCUGCGAUAUGGAAAAAAAAAGGUUCAUGGCAAACUGAUUUCAUUUAGAAUACAAAAAAGUGGAAGAUCUGUGGUCUUACAGAUCCAAGACGUGUUCCCAUGGAGGCAGGAACAUCUGUUGUGCCCUAUUUUGCUCCAUAAUAAUCUCUCAAGCUCAUAAA
Molecule: long non-coding RNA, 1174 nt
Organism: Centrocercus urophasianus (Greater sage-grouse)
Lineage: Eukaryota; Metazoa; Chordata; Aves; Galliformes; Phasianidae
Exons: 6
Source: RefSeq, a predicted model, not a curated record